UGGGGAAUAUUGGACAAUGGGGGCAACCCUGAUCCAGCAAUGUCGCGUGUGUGAAGAAGGUCUUCGGAUUGUAAAGCACUUUCGACGGGGACGAUGAUGACGGUACCCGUAGAAGAAGCCCCGGCUAACUUCGUGCCAGCAGCCGCGGUAAUACGAAGGGGGCUAGCGUUGCUCGGAAUGACUGGGCGUAAAGGGCGUGUAGGCGGUUUACACAGUCAGAUGUGAAAUCCCCGGGCUUAACCUGGGAGCUGCAUUUGAUACGUGUAGACUAGAGUGUGAGAGAGGGUUGUGGAAUUCCCAGUGUAGAGGUGAAAUUCGUAGAUAUU
This 326-nucleotide ribosomal RNA is filed under the name uncultured bacterium. RNAcentral describes it as "partial 16S ribosomal RNA". It matches the Rfam family "Bacterial small subunit ribosomal RNA", at positions 355 to 698 of the family's 1533-position model. The record is from RNAcentral.